RNAcentral lists this ribosomal RNA (628 nucleotides) under uncultured Russulaceae. RNAcentral's name for it is "LSU rRNA". It matches the Rfam family "Eukaryotic large subunit ribosomal RNA", at positions 47 to 649 of the family's 3401-position model. The record is from RNAcentral. Lineage: Eukaryota; Fungi; Basidiomycota; Agaricomycetes; Russulales; Russulaceae.
UAAGCGGAGGAAAAGAAACUAACAGGAUUCCCCUAGUACUGCGAGUGNAGCGGGAAAAGCUCAAAUUUGGAAUCUGGUGGUCUUUGGCCAUCCGAGUUGUAAUUUAGAGAAGCGUCUUCCGCGCUGGACCGUGCACAAGUCUCCUGGAAUGGAGCGUCAUAGAGGGUGAGAAUCCCGUCUUUGGCAUGGAAUCCCAGGGCUUCUGUGAUGCGCUCUCGACGAGUCGAGUUGUUUGGGAAUGCAGCUCAAAAUGGGUGGUGAACUCCAUCUAAAGCUAAAUAUUGGCGAGAGACCGAUAGCGAACAAGUACCGUGAGGGAAAGAUGAAAAGCACUUUGGAAAGAGAGUGAAACAGUACGUGAAAUUGUUGAAAGGGAAACGCUUGAAGUCAGUCGCGUCGACCGAGACUCAGCCUUGCCUCGGCUUGGUGUACUUCUCGGCUUGACGGGCCAGCAUCGAUUUCAAUCCUCGGAUAAUGGCAAGGGAAAGGUAGCACCUUUUUAGGUGUGUUAUAGUCCUCUGUCGCAUGCGAGGGUCGGGAUCGAGGAACUCAGCACGCACCUCAGGGUGUCGGGGCCUUGGCCCACGUUUACGUGCUUAGGAUGCUGGCGUAAUGGCUUUAAACGACC